Molecule: ribosomal RNA, 254 nt
Filed under: uncultured bacterium
Lineage: Bacteria
Description: partial 16S ribosomal RNA
Rfam family: Bacterial small subunit ribosomal RNA
Source: RNAcentral
UACGUAGGGGGCAAGCGUUGUUCGGAAUGACUGGGCGUAAAGGGUGCGUAGGCGGUGUAGCAAGUUAGAAGUGAAAUACCUAGAGCUUAACUCAGGUGCUGCUUCUAAAACUGCUAUACUUGAGUGCAGUAGAGGAAAGUGGAAUUCCUAGUGUAGCGGUGGAAUGCGUAGAUAUUAGGAGGAAUAUCAGUGGCGAAGGCGACUUUCUGGACUGUAACUGACGCUGAGGCACGAAAGUGUGGGGAGCAAACAGG